GAUGAACGCUGGCGGCGUGCCUAAUACAUGCAAGUCGAGCGAACAGACGAGGAGCUUGCUCCUCUGACGUUAGCGGCGGACGGGUGAGUAACACGUGGAUAACCUACCUAUAAGACUGGGAUAACUUCGGGAAACCGGAGCUAAUACCGGAUAAUAUAUUGAACCGCAUGGUUCAAUAGUGAAUGACGGUUUUGCUGUCACUUAUAGAUGGAUCCGCGCCGCAUUAGCUAGUUGGUAAGGUAACGGCUUACCAAGGCAACGAUGCGUAGCCGACCUGAGAGGGUGAUCGGCCACACUGGAACUGAGACACGGUCCAGACUGCUACGGGAGGCAGCAGUAGGGAAUCUUCCGCAAUGGGCGAAAGCCUGACGGAGCAACGCCGCGUGAGUGAUGAAGGUCUUCGGAUCGUAAAACUCUGUUAUUAGGGAAGAACAAAUGUGUAAGUAACUAUGCACGUAUUGACGGUACCUAAUGAGAAAGCAACGGCUAACUACGUG
Molecule: ribosomal RNA, 497 nt
Filed under: uncultured bacterium
Lineage: Bacteria
Description: partial 16S ribosomal RNA
Rfam family: Bacterial small subunit ribosomal RNA
Source: RNAcentral